Molecule: ribosomal RNA, 459 nt
Filed under: uncultured bacterium
Lineage: Bacteria
Description: partial 16S ribosomal RNA
Rfam family: Bacterial small subunit ribosomal RNA
Source: RNAcentral
CCUACGGGAGGCAGCAGUGAGGAAUAUUGGUCAAUGGGCGAGAGCCUGAACCAGCCAAGUCGCGUGAGGGAGUACUGCCCUAUGGGUUGUAAACCUCUUUUGUCGGGGAGCAAAAGCCGGACGUGUCCGGCUGUGAGAGUACCCGAAGAAACAGCAUCGGCUAACUCAGUGCCAGCAGCCGCGGUACUACGGAGGAUGCGAGCGUUAUCCGGAUUUAGUGGGUUUAAAGGGAGCGUAGGUGGAUUGUUAAGUCAGUUGUGAAAGUGUGCGGCUCAACCGUAAAAUUGCAGUUGAAACUGGCAGUCUUGAGUACAGUAGAGGUGGGCGGAAGUCGUGGUGUAGCGGUGAAAUGCUUAGUUAUCACGAAGAACUCCGAUUGCGAAGGCAGCUCACUGGACUGCAACUGACACUGAGGCUCGAAAGUGUGGGUAUCAAACAGGAUUAGAUACCCUUGUAGUC